This 1347-nucleotide ribosomal RNA is filed under the name Matsusporium tropicale. RNAcentral's name for it is "LSU rRNA". It matches the Rfam family "Eukaryotic large subunit ribosomal RNA", at positions 36 to 1374 of the family's 3401-position model. The record is from RNAcentral. Lineage: Eukaryota; Fungi; Ascomycota; Sordariomycetes; Lulworthiales; Lulworthiaceae.
AAGCAUAUCAAUAAGCGGAGGAAAAGAAACCAACAGGGAUUGCCCUCAGUAACGGCGAGUGAAGCGGCAACAGCUCAAAUUUGAAAUCUGGCUCGGCCCGAGUUGUAAUCUGCAGAGGAGCCUUCGGACGGCGGUCCAGCCGCGGAGUUCGUUGGAACUCGGCACCGGAGAGGGUGAGAGCCCCGUGCACGGCGGGCGGAGCCCGAUCGAAGCUCCCUUGGCGAAUUCGGGUUAGUUUGGGAAUGCUGCCCAAAGCGGGAGGUAAAUUCCUUCCAAGGCUAAGUACCGGCCGGAGACCGAUAGCGCACAAGUAGAGUGAUCGAAAGAUGAAAAGCACUUUGGAAAGAGGGUCAAAAAGCACGUGAAAUUGCCGAGGGGGAAGCGCCUGCGGCCAGACUCCCGCGCGGCGGAUCAUCGGGCGCUCGCCGCCCGUGCACUCCGCCGUCCCGCGGGGGCCAGCGUCGGCCGGGGGGGGAGGAGAAAAGCCGGGGGAACGUGGCCCCUCCGGGGGUGUUACAGCCCCGCGCGCCCAAUGCCCCCCCGCCCGGCCGAGGACCGCGCCGCCCCCCUCCGGGGGGGUCCGUGGCGUAAUGGGCGAGGACGCCCGCCGGCGGCCCGUCUUGAAACACGGACCAAGGAGUCGAACGUCCGCGCGAGUGUUCGGGUGUCUAAAACCCCGGCGCGUAGUGAAAGCGAACGGAGGCGGGAGCCCCUCGCGGGCGCACCGCCGACCGAUCCCGAUGUUCCUCGGACGGAUUUGAGUAGGAGCGCGGCCGUUCGGACCCGAAAGAUGGUGAACUAUGCCUGCGUAGGGCGAAGCCAGAGGAAACUCUGGUGGAGGCUCGCAGCGGUUCUGACGUGCAAAUCGAUCGUCGAACGUGGGCAUGGGGGCGAAAGACUAAUCGAACCAUCUAGUAGCUGGUUUCCGCCGAAGUUUCCCUCAGGAUAGCAGCGCCGGCGCAAACUCACUUUUAUGAGGUAGAGCGAAUGAUUAGGGACUCGGGGGCGUCGUUAAGCCUUCAUCCAUUCUCAAACUUCGAAUGCGUAAGAGGCCCUUGUCGCUUGGCUGGACGCGGGCACCAUCGAAUGCAGCGGCGCUAGUGGGCCAUUUUUGGUAAGCAGAACUGGCGAUGCGGGAUGAACCGAACGCGGGGUUAAGGCGCCGGAGUGGACGCUCAUCAGACACCACAAAAGGCGUUGGUACAUCUUGACAGCAGGACGGUGGCCAUGGAAGUCGGAAACCGCUAAGGACUGUGUAACAACUCACCUGCCGAAUGUACCAGCCCUGAAAAUGGAUGGCGCUCAAGCGUCCCGCCCAUACCCCGCCCCCGGGCAGGAUCGACGCCC